RNAcentral lists this ribosomal RNA (1372 nucleotides) under uncultured bacterium. RNAcentral's name for it is "bacterial SSU rRNA". It matches the Rfam family "Bacterial small subunit ribosomal RNA", at positions 28 to 1381 of the family's 1533-position model. The record is from RNAcentral.
GAUGAACGCUGGCGGCGUGCCUAAUACAUGCAAGUCGAGCGAACGGACGAGAAGCUUGCUUCUCUGAUGUUAGCGGCGGACGGGUGAGUAACACGUGGAUAACCUACCUAUAAGACUGGGAUAACUUCGGGAAACCGGAGCUAAUACCGGAUAAUAUUUUGAACCGCAUGGUUCAAAAGUAAAAGACGGUCUUGCUGUCACUUAUAGAUGGAUCCGCGCUGCAUUAGCUAGUUGGUAAGGUAACGGCUUACCAAGGCAACGAUGCAUAGCCGACCUGAGAGGGUGAUCGGCCACACUGGAACUGAGACACGGUCCAGACUCCUACGGGAGGCAGCAGUAGGGAAUCUUCCGCAAUGGGCGAAAGCCUGACGGAGCAACGCCGCGUGAGUGAUGAAGGUCUUCGGAUCGUAAAACUCUGUUAUUAGGGAAGAACAUAUGUGUAAGUAACUGUGCACAUCUUGACGGUACCUAAUCAGAAAGCCACGGCUAACUACGUGCCAGCAGCCGCGGUAAUACGUAGGUGGCAAGCGUUAUCCGGAAUUAUUGGGCGUAAAGCGCGCGUAGGCGGUUUUUUAAGUCUGAUGUGAAAGCCCACGGCUCAACCGUGGAGGGUCAUUGGAAACUGGAAAACUUGAGUGCAGAAGAGGAAAGUGGAAUUCCAUGUGUAGCGGUGAAAUGCGCAGAGAUAUGGAGGAACACCAGUGGCGAAGGCGACUUUCUGGUCUGUAACUGACGCUGAUGUGCGAAGGCGUGGGGAUCAAACAGGAUUAGAUACCCUGGUAGUCCACGCCGUAAACGAUGAGUGCUAAGUGUUAGGGGGUUUCCGCCCCUUAGUGCUGCAGCUAACGCAUUAAGCACUCCGCCUGGGGAGUACGACCGCAAGGUUGAAACUCAAAGGAAUUGACGGGGACCCGCACAAGCGGUGGAGCAUGUGGUUUAAUUCGAAGCAACGCGAAGAACCUUACCAAAUCUUGACAUCCUUUGACAACUCUAGAGAUAGAGCCUUCCCCUUCGGGGGACAAAGUGACAGGUGGUGCAUGGUUGUCGUCAGCUCGUGUCGUGAGAUGUUGGGUUAAGUCCCGCAACGAGCGCAACCCUUAAGCUUAGUUGCCAUCAUUAAGUUGGGCACUCUAAGUUGACUGCCGGUGACAAACCGGAGGAAGGUGGGGAUGACGUCAAAUCAUCAUGCCCCUUAUGAUUUGGGCUACACACGUGCUACAAUGGACAAUACAAAGGGCAGCGAAACCGCGAGGUCAAGCAAAUCCCAUAAAGUUGUUCUCAGUUCGGAUUGUAGUCUGCAACUCGACUACAUGAAGCUGGAAUCGCUAGUAAUCGUAGAUCAGCAUGCUACGGUGAAUACGUUCCCGGGUCU